RNAcentral lists this long non-coding RNA (282 nucleotides) under Zerene cesonia (dogface butterfly). RNAcentral describes it as "uncharacterized LOC119836796, transcript variant X1". Lineage: Eukaryota; Metazoa; Arthropoda; Insecta; Lepidoptera; Pieridae. The record is from RNAcentral.
GAAUUCAUAUGCAUAACUUUUUUUUCUACAACAAGGCUUGAUUAGCUACAUUAUUCAUAUGAUAUAUAUUCUGUAAGUCAGCAGGAGACACGAAAAAUUCUACUUUAUAAUACUUCUACUAAAUACUAUGAGAAUUUACUAAACUAUAAAAGCAUGAAGCCGCCAGGCAGCUAAUGCAGCAGCCAUAACAAUUUUAAUUGCAAGGAUCUCGUCGGCCCGACAGUGCGAUGGUCUAACUGCCAACAAAACCAUACUCCACACCAUUUAAUUAUUUUUUGUUUU